GAUGAACGCUAGCUACAGGCUUAACACAUGCAAGUCGAGGGGAAACGAUAGAGAAAGCUUGCUUUUUCUGGGCGUCGACCGGCGCACGGGUGAGUAACGCGUAUCCAACCUGCCCAUCACUUGGGGAUAACCUUGCGAAAGUAAGACUAAUACCCAAUGACGUCUCUAGAAGACAUCUGAAGGAGAUUAAAGAUUUAUCGGUGAUGGAUGGGGAUGCGUCUGAUUAGCUUGUUGGCGGGGUAACGGCCCACCAAGGCGACGAUCAGUAGGGGUUCUGAGAGGAAGGCCCCCCCACAUUGGAACUGAGACACGGUCCAAACUCCUACGGGAGGCAGCAGUGAGGAAUAUUGGUCAAUGGACGAGAGUCUGAACCAGCCAAGUAGCGUGCAGGAUGACGGCCCUAUGGGUUGUAAACUGCUUUUAUAAGGGAUAAAGUGAGUCUCGUGAGACUUUUUGCAUGUACCUUAUGAAUAAGGACCGGCUAAUUCCGUGCCAGCAGCCG
RNAcentral lists this ribosomal RNA (502 nucleotides) under uncultured bacterium. RNAcentral describes it as "bacterial SSU rRNA". It matches the Rfam family "Bacterial small subunit ribosomal RNA", at positions 28 to 517 of the family's 1533-position model. The record is from RNAcentral.